CUCCCUCCCUUACGAGGCAGCGGCAUCGUCCUCCCCCCUUCUCCGCCACCUCCUCCUCCGGCGCGCAGCCCGCGACUCUGGCAUCCCCAACGCACUUUCUCUCCUCGAUCCGCUCGCUCUCUUCCCCCCGCCGCUCCUCCUUCUCCAGUAAAAAAUAAAUGAGAAGGGACGGCGGGUAUGCCUGGUCUUUUUUUCUCUUUCUUUCUUUUUUUUUUUUCUCUCUCUGUCCUCUGGAGUUGGUGAGAGGAUCACAUGAGGAGCAGGCACAGAGAACCAGGACCCUCAGAAGUCGGAGGAGGCAUCGGACACAUAUAUCUGCCAAUGGUCACCAUCACCCAAGGUUUCUCUCAAGGAAAAGAGGAAGGAAAUUUACUUUCCAAGCUGCUGUCCAGCUGCUCAUUUAGCCCUGACAACCCACUGAAGACACUGAAGAACGCCCAGCUAAAGUGGUUAAACGCCUGGAAAUGCAAGUGGAGGAGAAGUUCCUCCCCUCCAUUUUCAUUACUUGCAGCAGAUGACGUCAGUCUUCUACGACCUGUGCUAUGCAGUGCCCAGGAAACUCUUGAUCCAUCCUUGUGGACUUGCCAAAUGAGUCACUCUCGCCUGGUACAGAUAAAUAGGGUCUCCCUGUCUUCAUCAUCUCAGAGUCUCAUGUUGCCAUGUCGCAUGCAUGUGGAACAACCAUGAAAGGAAGGACAAUUAGCCUAGGAAGUCCAUCUAUAUCUACAGGAGUUAAAAACAGUUCUGUGGACAAAGGUAUUGAUCAAAGCAUGACUGAAUGAAGAGGUAAGGG
RNAcentral lists this long non-coding RNA (793 nucleotides) under Struthio camelus australis. Its description in RNAcentral is "lncRNA (ENSSCUG00000007374.1)". Lineage: Eukaryota; Metazoa; Chordata; Aves; Struthioniformes; Struthionidae. The record is from RNAcentral.